UAGAACUGACACAUGGACUCUAGACUUCGUUGGAAAGCUCUCCACUAAACUUUUAGCACUACUCUUUUAUAUACAUUUCUUGCAAAAAAAAAAAAAAAAAGAAAAAAAAAAAACAUAUAUGAGAGAGAGAAUGAGACUACUAUACUAUCUAUAGUAUUGGAGAAUUUUUAAUUUUUUGGUGUUCAAAUCAACGAUCCACACCAUCAAAUAUAAUCUAGGGUAUAUGAGGUUUUAGAAAUAAAAUAUUAAAUUUUUUUCAACAUCGUUUACUUAGAAAAUAAAUCAUGUCAAAAUGAACGGUGAAAUUAAACAAUUUUUAAAAUUUGAGAAUAUAAUUUUUAAAUUCAAGAUCAAGGAUGUUGGUCUUAAUCUAGAUAGUUUAAAGUAUUUUCUAUCAAAAUUUGAAUUAAUUUAGAUUCUUCUACACCGUUAAACUACAAACUCGCCAUAGUAGUUUUUAAAAUUUGACAAGUUUGAAAUAGUUUGUUCAUAAAGUAAACUAUAUCGAAAAAACUAUAAAAUUCUAUUUCAAAAAAUUUUAAUUAUCCUAAAUCAGUUUUAAUAGUAUGGAUCGUUAAUUUGAACACCUUAAGAUCGAAAACGAAACUAUUAAUACCGGAGGUCCGGUACUAUAGAUAGUAUAUGAGCCUAGUUCUAUAUAGAAUGAGACUAUUGUACUAUCUAUAGUACCGGAGCUAGUUUUAUAAACGCGGAUUCGGAAUUUGACCAACUCUACCGAUAACCG
This 745-nucleotide long non-coding RNA is filed under the name Ananas comosus (pineapple). Its description in RNAcentral is "long non-coding RNA (ACOM_LNC013893)". Lineage: Eukaryota; Viridiplantae; Streptophyta; Magnoliopsida; Poales; Bromeliaceae. The record is from RNAcentral.